AGAGUUUGAUCCUGGCUCAGGAUGAACGCUGGCGGCGUGCCUAAUACAUGCAAGUCGAGCGGUAAGGCCCUUCGGGGUACACGAGCGGCGGACGGCUGAGUAACACGUAGGAACGUACCCCAAACUGAGGGAUAAGCACCAGAAAUGGUGUCUAAUACCGCAUGUGGCCCACGGGCUAAAGCUUCGGCGGUUUGGGAACG
This 200-nucleotide ribosomal RNA is filed under the name uncultured bacterium. RNAcentral describes it as "partial 16S ribosomal RNA". It matches the Rfam family "Bacterial small subunit ribosomal RNA", at positions 8 to 228 of the family's 1533-position model. The record is from RNAcentral.